UACAGAGGUCUCAAGCGUUGUUCGGAUUCAUUGGGCGUAAAGGGUGCGUAGGUGGCGCGGUAAGUCGGGUGUGAAAUUUCGGAGCUUAACUCCGAAACUGCAUUCGAUACUGCCGUGCUUGAGGACUGGAGAGGAGACUGGAAUUUACGGUGUAGCAGUGAAAUGCGUAGAGAUCGUAAGGAAGACCAGUGGCGAAGGCGGGUCUCUGGACAGUUCCUGACGCUGAGGCACGAAGGCCAGGAGCAACGG
Molecule: ribosomal RNA, 249 nt
Filed under: uncultured bacterium
Lineage: Bacteria
Description: partial 16S ribosomal RNA
Rfam family: Bacterial small subunit ribosomal RNA
Source: RNAcentral